UGGGGAAUAUUGGACAAUGGGCGCAAGCCUGAUCCAGCCAUGCCGCGUGAGUGAUGAAGGCCCUAGGGUUGUAAAGCUCUUUCACCGGUGAAGAUAAUGACGGUAACCGGAGAAGAAGCCCCGGCUAACUUCGUGCCAGCAGCCGCGGUAAUACGAAGGGGGCUAGCGUUGUUCGGAUUUACUGGGCGUAAAGCGCACGUAGGCGGACUAUUAAGUCAGGGGUGAAAUCCCGGGGCUCAACCCCGGAACUGCCUUUGAUACUGGUAGUCUUGAGUUCGAGAGAGGUGAGUGGAAUUCCGAGUGUAGAGGUGAAAUUCGUAGAUAUUCGGGGGAACACCAGUGGCGAAGGCAGCUCACUGGCUCGAUACUGACGCUGAGGUGCGAAAGCGUGGGGAGCAAACAGG
This 404-nucleotide ribosomal RNA is filed under the name Actinomycetes bacterium. Its description in RNAcentral is "Actinobacteria bacterium partial 16S ribosomal RNA". It matches the Rfam family "Bacterial small subunit ribosomal RNA", at positions 355 to 776 of the family's 1533-position model. Lineage: Bacteria; Bacillati; Actinomycetota; Actinomycetes. The record is from RNAcentral.